This 2024-nucleotide long non-coding RNA is filed under the name Canis lupus familiaris (dog). RNAcentral's name for it is "lncRNA (ENSCAFG00000051025.1, ENSCAFG00845017967.1)". The record is from RNAcentral. Lineage: Eukaryota; Metazoa; Chordata; Mammalia; Carnivora; Canidae.
UUCAUGAGAGACACACAGAGAGAGAGGCAGAUAUACAGGCAGAGGGAGGAGCAGGCUCCAUACAGGGAGCCCAAUGUGGGACACAAUCCCGGGACUCCAGGAUCACGCCCUGGGCCAAAGCCAGGCGCUAAACCGCUGAGCCACCCAGGGAUCUCCCUGAGUACUGUCAGUUCUGAUGGGACUGGUCAUUGUGCUAAUCAGGACCACAGAGAAGGGCAUUCAUUAUGAUCCAAACCAUCCACUAGCCAGUGUGUGGCAGUGUGAAAUGGACAGUCCUGCAUUGCUCAUCAAAUGGAAAAUCAACUAGCUAAGCAGUGGUCCUAUCAAACCUUCUAUCUGGCUUGCCCUUGAACUUCUUACUAUGUUAAAUUAACAUUCAGGCUACCCUAGUCUACAGGGGCAUCUCUGCCAGUUUAGAAGCUUGGUAAUUGCAGGAACCUCCCUCCUAUGGCCAAGGACUAGAAAUGUCUUGUUAGUGGCCCAGUACAGGCAGAUCUGCAGCAGCAAAGGGAUGAGCACAUCCUCCAGUAUCUGCUAAGAUCACUAGACUGGCUCACAGAGCUGGGAAAUCCAUAGGAUGGAAGGGAGUGGACAGAGGCCACGACAAGAGUGGUCAGAAGCAUGUGCCCAAGAACCGCCAAAGCUGGAAGGGCCCUUAAAGAUCCCCUAAUCUUUCUAUCUUUAGAGAUUAAAAAACUAGUGUCAGAGAGGGGACAGGACUGGUCCAACAUUGACCAGCCACUCAAGUAGUGGGUCAAGGGACAGAGCUUGGGGCUCCUAUGUUUUCUGUAGGGUCUUCAUGCUUUUUCCAGAGAUCACUCUGCCUUCCCGGCCCCUCAAAUCCUUCACCUGUGAAUCAAGGUUAGCUGGGAUGCAGCUCCCUUUGAAAAGAAUUAAUCUCUUCUAUGCAACCCUUUCUUGGUCCAUAGACAUAACAUGACAUUUAAAAUAUUAAAAAAUAUUUUUUUAUUUAUUCAUGAGAGACACACAGUGACAGGCAGAGACAUAGGCAGAGGGAGAAGCAGGCUCCCUGUGGGGAGCCUGAUGCAAGACUUAAUCCCUGGACCCUGGGAUCACGACCUGAGCCCAAGGCAGACACUCAAUCGCUGAGCCAACCAGGCAUCCCAAUGGCCCUGUUCUUAUAGCACGUGGUACGGACAUUAGCAAACAGCAGAACCAGCUGGAACCUUGGAUGGAUGAAGGAUGGUUCUGACGUGUGGUCAGCGGCCAGAGUCUUCAGUUCUAGAAUGAUUAAAUCAAGCUGCUUGCAAUGCAUACGGAGAUGAGGAUGGUGGCGAGAGGUGGGGAUGGGGGCAAUGCAAGAAAGUGAGGCCCCCCUCCCAAGGCCCAAGACAAAUGAUACCUGGCUGGGAUAGAAGGAUGGAGGGGAGUGUCUUUGACAAGCAGACCAGAGGGGAGCCCUGGGAAGCUGCUGGAAGGAUAUAACAGGGGAUAAGGGAGGGGUGGUUGGGAAUGGGAGAGAGUGAGUGAAGCCUGGCAGUUACGGAAUUAUUCCAACUUCACCUUUUCUCAGAAAAGUCAUUGUCUGCUUACAAGGACGCACAAGGUAAGUCAGGGCAGGAUACAUGAAAGCUCGCAAAGCAAAGGCAGCCAGAAAGCCAAGCCAAGAAUAAGGGUAGAAAUGCAUACUAUAAAAGCCUCUGCUCCCACCAGGGGUGGGUCUCAAAGUUGGCCAUAAGCUUUCCAGCAGCCAACAGGAAAGGGGAAACCUUGUCAUUAUACAAUUCACAAUGUCCAGAAGAUAAAAACAAACUCGUUGCUCAGAAGGGCAAGUGUUCUUAGUACUAAGAUCAGACAGGAAUUCCUCCCGGGGGUCCUCAGAGAGGAUGCUGUGGGAUACAAUGAACGACAUCCUUGACAACAUCCUUACAAUAGCGGUAGCAACGUGUUUCAAAGGGCUGUUUUUCCUAAGGACCCGCAGAAUCAACAGCCUGUAUCCCACUGUAGCCAGGCAAUUUGGAGCUGAAAAUAGCGCAUCAAGGUGCAAAUCAGUACAUCUAGUA